RNAcentral lists this ribosomal RNA (495 nucleotides) under uncultured bacterium. RNAcentral's name for it is "partial 16S ribosomal RNA". It matches the Rfam family "Bacterial small subunit ribosomal RNA", at positions 30 to 507 of the family's 1533-position model. The record is from RNAcentral.
UGAACGCUGGCGGCGUGCCUAAUACAUGCACGUCGAGCGAACGGACGAGAAGCUUGCUUCUCUGCUGUUAGCGGCGGACGGGUGAGUAACACGUGGAUAACCUACCUAUAAGACUGGGAUAACUUCGGGAAACCGGAGCUAAUACCGGAUAAUAUUUUGAACCGCAUGGUUCAAAAGUGAAAGACGGUCUUGCUGUCACUUAUAGAUGGAUCCGCGCUGCAUUAGCUAGUUGGUAAGGUAACGGCUUACCAAGGCAACGAUGCAUAGCCGACCUGAGAGGGUGAUCGGCCACACUGGAACUGAGACACGGUCCAGACUCCUACGGGAGGCAGCAGUAGGGAAUCUUCCGCAAUGGGCGAAAGCCUGACGGAGCAACGCCGCGUGAGUGAUGAAGGUCUUCGGAUCGUAAAACUCUGUUAUUAGGGAAGAACAUAUGUGUAAGUAACUGUGCACAUCUUGACGGUACCUAAUCAGAAAGCCACGGCUAACUACGUG